AGGGAUGUGGCUCAAUGAUGGAGCAUUUGUCUAGCAUACAAAAGGCUCUGUUUUCAUUCUUA
Molecule: transfer RNA, 62 nt
Filed under: Cricetulus griseus (Chinese hamster)
Lineage: Eukaryota; Metazoa; Chordata; Mammalia; Rodentia; Cricetidae
Rfam family: tRNA
About the family: Transfer RNA (tRNA) molecules are approximately 80 nucleotides in length. Their secondary structure includes four short double-helical elements and three loops (D, anti-codon, and T loops).
Source: Rfam by way of RNAcentral